GUGAAUCAUCGAGUCUUUGAACGCAAAUUGCACUCUGUUUCUGCAGAGUAUGCCUGUUUGAGAAUCUAUAGUAUUCUACUCCUCUUUUGGAGUGAUUUGACCAUUGCUUCACUUGAAAGCUCGGUUUAAAAACUAUAGAUUGCAGUACCUAAAGUGUACAAAAAUGCUCUAGCAAUGAAGGGUUCGCCCAACUUGGCUUUUGCAAAUUGCUUCACGAUAGGUGGACUUUUCGAGUCGAGCUGCAACACCCAAACCAAAAUUUUGAACCUUGGUCUCAAAUCAGGCAGGAAGACCCGCUGAACUUAAGCAUAUCAAUAAGCGGAGG
This 325-nucleotide ribosomal RNA is filed under the name uncultured fungus. RNAcentral describes it as "eukaryotic LSU rRNA". The stretch from base 270 to 325 matches the Rfam family "Eukaryotic large subunit ribosomal RNA", at positions 1 to 56 of the family's 3401-position model. The record is from RNAcentral. Lineage: Eukaryota; Fungi.